Molecule: ribosomal RNA, 253 nt
Filed under: uncultured bacterium
Lineage: Bacteria
Description: partial 16S ribosomal RNA
Rfam family: Bacterial small subunit ribosomal RNA
Source: RNAcentral
UACGAAGGGUGCAAACGUUGCUCGGAAUUACUGGGCGUAAAGGGCUCGUAGGCGGCCAACUAAGUCAGACGUGAAAUCCCUCGGCUUAACCGGGGAACUGCGUCUGAUACUGGAUGGCUGGAGUUUGGGAGAGGGAUGCGGAAUUCCAGGUGUAGCGGUGAAAUGCGUAGAUAUCUGGAGGAACACCGGUGGCGAAGGCGGCAUCCUGGACCAACACUGACGCUCAUGCACGAAAGCGUGGGGAGCAAACAGG